Molecule: long non-coding RNA, 1336 nt
Filed under: Papio anubis (olive baboon)
Lineage: Eukaryota; Metazoa; Chordata; Mammalia; Primates; Cercopithecidae
Description: lncRNA (ENSPANG00000038419.1)
Source: RNAcentral
AGCUAUAUUUUGCAUGAAUCCAUUUAUUUGCAAUUUGCAAUUCAAGAAUAGGAAAAAUUAACCUACGGUGAUAGGAAUCAGAUCAGUGAUUACUUGGUGCUGAGAAGGUGCAACAAGGAGCUUUCUGGACUGAUGGAAGUGUUCUGUCUCAAUAUGAAUUCCUGAAAACUGAUCGAAUGGUAUAUUUAAGAUUUGAGCUUUUCACUGUAUAUAAAUUAUAUCUCAAUUAAAAUUUUAUUUAUUUUUAGCAUACCAAGAGAGAAAGAGAAGUACUUAGAAAAACUGAUAAAACUUCAAAUAUGUUUGCAAAAGAUAACCCUUUUUUAUGGUUAUACUGUGAAAGUCAAAUAGCUAAGCUGGCCAGGCUUGGUGGCUCACGCCUGUAAUCAGGAGGUCAGGAGAUCGAUACCAUCCUUGCUAACAUGGUGAAACCCUGUCUUUACUAAAAAUACAUAAAGAAAUUAGCUGAGCAUGGUGGUGGGUGCCUGUAGUCCCAGCUACUCGGGAGGCUGAGGCAGGAGAAUGGUGUGAACCCAGGAGGCGGAGCUUGCAGUGAGCCAAGAUCGCCACUGCACUUCAGCCUGGGUGGCAGAGCGAGACUCCGUCUCCAAAAAAAAAAAGAAAUUGGUCUAAGUUAUAUCAUGCUAUCAAACAAUUUUCUGAGAAAAAUUUUGUCUGGAACACAGCCUUCCAAAUAAGAAACACUUGGUUCAUUCUUUGCUCUAAUAAUUAUAAUAAUUAUAAUUAUAAAUGACAUUUUUAUGAAACAUAUAUUAAGAGACACUUAUAAUUUUUCUCUUUUUAAAGGUAAAUUCUCAAUCAAAUUUUGUUACUCAUUUUAAGUAGAUUCAACUUAAGAUUCAUUUACUCAACAAAUAUUUAUCGAGAGCUUACAAUGUGCCAGGCAUUGUUCUAAGUGCUUGUGAUGUACCAGUGAACAAAACAGACAAGGAGCCCGGCCAGUGUGGAGCAUAUAUUCUCACAGGGAAACAAACAACAUACAUUCUCACAGGGGAAAAAACAUACAUUCUCACAGGGGAACAAACAACAUACAUUCUCACAGGGAAACAACAUACAUUCUCACAGGGGAACAAAAUAACAUACAUUCUCACAGGGAAACAACAUAUAUUCUCACAGGGAAACAACAUACAUUCUCACAGGGGAACAAACAACAUACAUUCUCACAGGGAAACAACAUACAUUCUCACAGAAAAAAACAAAUAAAUAUCUCAUGAGGAAAUAAACAACAUACAUUCUCACUAGGGAAAUAAAUACCAUACAUUCCCUAUAGGAAACAAUAUACAUUCUCACAGAAAAUGAUCUCCACACAACCCAU